AACGCACCUUGCGCUCCUUGGUAUUCCGAGGAGCAUGCCUGUUUGAGUGUCAUUAAAUUCUCAACUUCAUCAGUUUUGUUAUGAGACUGUGUGAAGCUUGGAUGUGGGGGUUUGUGCAGAGCGCUUUCGAGCACACUGCUCCCCUUAAAUAUAUUAGCGAGUUCAAACUGGGCUCCGUCUAUUGGUGUGAUAAUUAUCUACGCCGUGGAUGGGGCUUAGACUUGCUUCUAACCGUCCGCAAGGACAAUCUUUUGACAAUUUGACCUCAAAUCAGGUAGGACUACCCGCUGAACUUAA
This 297-nucleotide unclassified non-coding RNA is filed under the name Psathyrella sp. Its description in RNAcentral is "partial contains 5.8S ribosomal RNA, internal transcribed spacer 2, and large subunit ribosomal RNA". The stretch from base 1 to 52 matches the Rfam family "5.8S ribosomal RNA", at positions 103 to 154 of the family's 154-position model. Lineage: Eukaryota; Fungi; Basidiomycota; Agaricomycetes; Agaricales; Psathyrellaceae. The record is from RNAcentral. RNAcentral also lists the same sequence under 1 other name.